GUCUUUUGCCCAUUUUUCCAUUGAUUGAUUGGCUUUUUUGCUGUUGAGUUGUAUAAGUUGCUUGUAUAUUCUAGAGAUUAAGCCCUUGUCGGUUGCAUCAUUUGAAACUAUUUUCUCCCAUUCUGUAAAUUGUCUUUUUGUUUUCUUUUGGGUUUCCUUUGCUGUGCAAAAGCUUUUCAGUUUGAUUAGGUCCCAUUGGUUUAUUUUUGCUUUUAUUUCUAUUGCUUUGGGAGACUGACCUGAGAAAAUAUUCAUGAGGUUGAUGUCAGAGAGUGUUUUGCCUCUGUUCUCUUCUAGGAGUUUGAUGGUGUUAAAUAGGUCAAAUUUUUAAUCACGGAAGUAGCACUUGUUCUACACUUCCUAUCAGCAGUGUGAUAAGGAGUGGCAUUUAUCAGGCAGCUGUAGGAUGGUACUUAAUAAAUUACUGUCCUUCUCAAUGGAGUACUGGUCGUACUUUAUUUCCAAUGAGUACUCCAUUUCUAAAUAGAAGUACUCUAUGUACUUUAUUUCCCAAGUUUGCGCACAUAAAUCAAGAGUACUUUAAGCCUGGUUUCAGCUUCUUCUAUAAAUUACUGUGCUCUCGGUAAAAACCUUGUUUCUGCGCCUCAGUUUUCUCUUACCUUUAAAAUGAGGAAACAGGAAGGAAAAUUAAGUUGCUUAUCUUGUUUAAUCUUCUCAAUUCUGUAACGUAGGUAUAUCCUACUUUACAACCAUCAUCACAAAACAGGAAAAGGAAACAAGCUUGGGGAUUAUGUUAUUGAGCCAAAGGCACACAGCUCAGAAAGGUCACAACUGGGAUUUGAACCUAGGUCUUUGCAGCAUCAAAAUUCAAGCUCACCGCAUUGCAGUAUACCGCUUCCUAGGCUGUCUUAUUGCUGAUGAGGUAGUUCUCUAUUCAGAGAUGGCAUUUUCCACUUGUAGUAGUUGAAGGUCCUGUUCUUCUGUAGUAAAAUGUGUCUCUAUAUGACCACCCUUAAAUCAAUGCAUAUUUUCUCUGUACUAGUUCUCUCUGUGAUUGUACACAGAAAGUGCUAGAGAUUUUUGUUUUCAUUACAGACAACUACUGUUAACCUGAAAUGCUGAAGUUAAAUGUCAUAACUUCUACCCCUGAAUAGAAGGCUUAGAAAAAUAAAAGCUUCCACGAAAUUAGGGACUUAGUACCUCUAAGGAUUAAAAAAAAAAAAA
This 1185-nucleotide long non-coding RNA is filed under the name Sus scrofa (pig). RNAcentral describes it as "lncRNA (ENSSSCG00050030531.1)". The record is from RNAcentral. Lineage: Eukaryota; Metazoa; Chordata; Mammalia; Artiodactyla; Suidae.